AGUGAACGCUGGCGGUAGGCCUAACACAUGCAAGUCGAACGGCAGCACAGUAAGAGCUUGCUCUUACGGGUGGCGAGUGGCGGACGGGUGAGGAAUACAUCGGAAUCUACUUUUUCGUGGGGGAUAACGAAGGGAAACUUAUGCUAAUACCGCAUACGACCUACGGGUGAAAGCAGGGGAUCUUCGGACCUUGCGCGAUUGAAUGAGCCGAUGUCGGAUUAGCUAGUUGGCGGGGUAAAGGCCCACCAAGGCGACGAUCCGUAGCUGGUCUGAGAGGAUGAUCAGCCACACUGGAACUGAGACACGGUCCAGACUCCUACGGGAGGCAGCAGUGGGGAAUAUUGGACAAUGGGCGCAAGCCUGAUCCAGCCAUACCGCGUGGGUGAAGAAGGCCUUCGGGUUGUAAAGCCCUUUUGUUGGGAAAGAAAAGCAGCAGGUUAAUACCCCGCUGUUCUGACGGUACCCAAAGAAUAAGCACCGGCUAACUUCGUG
RNAcentral lists this ribosomal RNA (492 nucleotides) under uncultured bacterium. RNAcentral's name for it is "partial 16S ribosomal RNA". It matches the Rfam family "Bacterial small subunit ribosomal RNA", at positions 29 to 507 of the family's 1533-position model. The record is from RNAcentral.